RNAcentral lists this long non-coding RNA (438 nucleotides) under Homo sapiens (human). RNAcentral describes it as "HSALNT0384904". Lineage: Eukaryota; Metazoa; Chordata; Mammalia; Primates; Hominidae. The record is from RNAcentral.
ACCAUAAGUUUCCUGAGGCCACCCCAGACCUGCAGAAUUGGAUACUGGUUGUAGGAGAGCUGCCCAGUGUUUCUUCUCCUCCCACACACCCAGUUUUAAUGGAGUACUUAGAACCCUGCCGUGCCCACCUGCUGCUGCUUGGGUCCUGUGCACAAGCUGUUCCCGCUGCCUCCAAUACUCAUCCCCUCGACUUCUAUGGAGCUGACUCUUCACCUUCCAGCCUUGGCUCAAAUGUCACCUUCACAGUAAAGGCUACCCAUGGCUGGGUGUGUGGUUGUGCAGGAUCUGCCCCUUCCAAAGGGCCAGAAUGGAAAAAUGAACUCACUUCUGUUCUCUACUACACUAAAACAAUGCUUAGCACAUAACCAGGACCUGGCACCUAUUUGUUAAAUGAAUGAAUGAAUGAAUGACUAAAUAAAUGAAAAAAAAAAAAAAAAA